AAAUGCAGAUUGGAGCAAUUCUUCGAUCUGUAAUUCAUUGUUUCAGAAUAUCUCAUUAUUGCACCCUGACACCUCUGAUUCACAUUCCUUGUCACUUAGAGUGUUUACAAGUAGGCCGAAGAAUAUCCCAAGUUGGUUCCACCUUCGGGGAACUGGUACAAGUGUAUUAGUCAAUUUGCCUAUGAAUUGGUAUGUAACAGAUAACUUCUUGGGAUUUGCUGUAUGUUACUCUGGCGAAUUAAAUGACAAUACAGCUCAUUUGAUUCCCUUAUGUGAUGCUGGGAUGUCGUUGAUGACCCAAAAACUUGCUUUAUCCAACCAUGCAGAAUAUCUUGAUGAUAUUAAUUUUUUGUUGGUACCUCUUGGUGGCUUAUGGGAUGCAUCUAAAGCAAAUGGAAAAACACCAAAUGACUGAGAUUAUUUGUUUAUUUUUUGGAGAAAUGAAAGAAUUUGAAGUUCGUUUGUUGUAUAAAGAUGAAGCUGAGCUUUGCAUUGGGAUAAGGAAGAGCAGAUAUGAAGAGGCCAGUUGCUCCUCUUCAAAGAAACAAAGGUCACAAGUAGAUUAAAUAUAGAUGGUACUUUGGGGAUACUGCCUAUGAAGGGAACAUGUUUUCUGAAAAAGGGACUCGCCAAAGAACUUGGAGCAGACUGGGAAGCGGAGAACAAACACGGUGAUUCUGCCUGUGAAGGGCACAUGUUUCCUCUGUUUGUAACAGAACAACUCAACUCUUGGCCCGAGAGAGAGAUUCAUGAUAGAACUUGGGUGUUAUAAGUUCACAGAGAAAAGGUAAAGUGUAUUACCCAAAGGUAGCAACUGAUCCAUGGCUUUAAAACUUACAAUUUAGUUCAUUUUGAUGCUCUCUCAAAGAGGCAGCAUGGAGUGAGACAGUGAGGGAAGCUGGAGUGAAGGAAAAUGUGAAUCUGAACUGCAACAAGAUCAGUUAUAGUAUGUAGAGCUGUUCUUAUUUGACACGAUCUUCAAGGGAGAAAGUGAGAGAGGGAAAAUGUCUUUAUUGAGUAUGCCUGGAGAUUUUAAAGUUGCUAAUGUAUUGAAUAUCGUUGGAGUCGUGGAUGUUGUCAACAGAGAAGCGACUCAUCGAGCUGCAACGAUACAUGCAAACUUGGAGUUUCACGUUACACUGCAUAUGAAGGGCACAUAUUUCCUCUGUCUGAGAAAGAGAUUCGCAAAAGAACUUGUGUAUGUAAUAAUCCGUUCUCUUAUAUAUUAGUAAAGGUGACACGACAUCUCUCUUACACUAGCUAACGGAGCAAAGGGAACUAUUUCCACGAAUCAAACGUAUUCCACUGGAGUUGUGUGAAUUAGAAUCAGAGUUGUCAAAA
This is a long non-coding RNA of Solanum tuberosum (potato), 1341 nucleotides long. RefSeq lists it as uncharacterized. The transcript has 6 exons. NCBI's taxonomy places the organism in Eukaryota, Viridiplantae, Streptophyta, Magnoliopsida, Solanales, Solanaceae. The record is from RefSeq and is a predicted model, not a curated record.